This 174-nucleotide small RNA is filed under the name Staphylococcus aureus. RNAcentral describes it as "5'UTR". Lineage: Bacteria; Bacillati; Bacillota; Bacilli; Caryophanales; Staphylococcaceae. The record is from RNAcentral.
GCUAAUAGUUCCACUGUUGUUCCUGGUCCGAAAAACAAAGUAUCCCCAUCUUCAAUUAAUGAUGCAGCUUUUUUAGCUAUAAAUCGUUUUUCUGCAAUUUGACGGGUAUGUUUUUCUUUAUGCGAUAUUUCUUUAUACUGAAAUGUUGAAUUACUGCGUGCACCACCAUGAAUC